Molecule: non-coding RNA, 1512 nt
Organism: Felis catus (domestic cat)
Lineage: Eukaryota; Metazoa; Chordata; Mammalia; Carnivora; Felidae
Source: the annotation of a RefSeq genome assembly
AUGGCGGGAAAGAUCUCCGUGAGGGAGACCCAGAGUCUCAGGCUCAUCCAGUCUGCUGAAGGACGGCAGCCGAGCUCGAGAGGGUCCCAAUCACGUCGGGAGCCAGCAACCAAGCUUGGGCCUCAGGGCUCUCCAGCAGGGCUCUCCACCUACAAGUCCCUGUCCCGAGGGUUUGUCCCACCUGCUGAGGCAUCUGGGGCGUGUGGAUGGGAGGAGAAGUUUCUGCCUCCGGAGAAGUGCUGCACGUGUUCCCCUUGGUCUCAGGGUGUCAAGCUCCGAAAGAAGGCGACCCCCCAGACCCCCACCAGUGCAGCACCACCAGCGGCAAGCUGCAGAAGGCCUUCCAGUGGCCAGCAUCUUGGGAAACUAAGACCCCCCUGUCGACUCUUGGGCCAACCCCAUCAGAGGACUCCACCACAGUGCCCAGCACUGCCAGGGUCUCAGUGCCUUCCACCAGCCACACCCAGGCGCAAACCAGAGAGCCGGAAAGGACAGCGGACGCCAGUCUCAGAGCACCACCCCCAGGCCGGGUCUGCGCGCCCCAGUGCCCCCAGUGACCGAGGCCACUGUCCUCUGGCAGAGUGUCGGAACCACACCAGCCCUCCCAGCCUCUACCUGCCACAGCCUCCCCUGCAGGGCCCAUGGCUCAAGGGACAGGCCACCUUCACCUGCCUGGCAGUGGGGGCUGGCCUUCAGGAGGCCCGCUUGUCCUGGGAGGUGGCCGGGGCGCCCCUGCACGCGGGUGUGGACACUAGGCCGCUGGAGGAGAAUGCCAAUGGUUCCCAGAGCCUGAGAAGCCGCCUGGACUUGCCCGUGGCCUCCUGGGCCUCGGGAGCCAACAUCACCUGCACGCUGAGCGGCCUGGGCGUGGCUUCCCAAGUGGUGUCCGCAGCUCCCAAGGAACACGCUGCCUCUGCGCCCAGCAGCCUCACGGUCCACGUCCUGACUGUGUCCAGAGCAGCCUCCUGGCUCCUGUGCAAGGUGUCCGGCUUCUCGCCCCCAGACGUCCUCCUCACCUGGCUAAGGGACCAGGUCCAGGUAGACUCUGCUUCCUUUGCCACUGCACCCCCCGCAGCCGAGCUGGGGAGCAGCACCUUCGAGACCUGGAGCGUCCUGCACAUCCGCACAGCCCAGGCCCCUCGCCCGGACACCUACACGUGUGUGGUCCGGCACGAGGCCUCCCGAAGGUUGCUCAACGCCAGCUGGAGCCCAGACAUGGCCAGUCUGGACAUGACCCCCCCACCCCCCCAGAGCCAUGACGAGAGCGGCGGCGGCUCCACGGACCUGGAAGACACAGGCAGACUGUGGCCCACGUUCGCGGCCCUCUUCCUUCUCACUCUGCUCUACAGCGGCUUCGUCACCUUCAUCAAACUUCAGCUCAUGCUCAUCCCUGCACGUGGCCAGUGGAGGCUGACCCACACCUGACACCUGACAUGCCACGACCGGACGCGGGGCUGUGGUCAGACGACCCCCAUGGCCUCUGCAUGUGACCUCUGGGGCAAAGGCACUUUG